Long non-coding RNA from Girardinichthys multiradiatus, 655 nucleotides. RefSeq lists it as uncharacterized. The transcript has 2 exons. Lineage: Eukaryota; Metazoa; Chordata; Actinopteri; Cyprinodontiformes; Goodeidae. The record is from RefSeq and is a predicted model, not a curated record.
CUUGGUCACAGAUGCGCCAGCAAGAUGUGCACCAACAAUUUGUCCUCUUUUCUGUUUUCUGCAUCUUACUUGGACGAUGUCAUCACCAUCCAGAUCUGGAAGGUGCCUGUCUUUCACCUGUGACAUGGUCUCCACCGGAUCCAAGUUGAGGACUGACAGUGAACCCAGUCAAGUGCACUGUGGCACAGCAUUAAAUGGAGUACCUUGGCCACAUUGUUGGUCGGGGGUUGGUCAGACCUCGAGUGGUGAAGCAGGAUGCUAUCCACUCUUAAAUUGUGCCUACCACAACGAAGAAAGCCCAGGCUUUUAUGGGAGUGAAGGGAUUAUAUGGGUAACAAAUCCCCAAACUUUGCCAACAGACCUGUGGUACUGACUGACCUCAUGAGAACAUCGCUGUCAAACAAAGUGGGAUGGACAGAGAACUGUCAAAGAGCUUUUCGGGGACCUGAAGAGUGUCAACUCAGCAUGGGUGUCAUGUCUUUCUACUAUGCCAGAGGUUUCUGGAAUUACAGACUUGGAAAUAAAUGGCUGAGAAAGAGUGUUUGGAAAUGAAGUGGGCCGAAGACAGCCUUGGACAACAUUUUGUCCAAGAGACUGACAAUAGUGCCUAGCAGUGGCUAAAACAAAUAAAAUAUUCCAAUACACGUCUCACAAA